This 164-nucleotide ribosomal RNA is filed under the name Bupleurum falcatum. RNAcentral's name for it is "5.8S ribosomal RNA". Lineage: Eukaryota; Viridiplantae; Streptophyta; Magnoliopsida; Apiales; Apiaceae. The record is from RNAcentral.
CAAACGACUCUCGGCAACGGAUAUCCCGGCUCUCGCAUCGAUGAAGAACGUAGCGAAAUGCGAUACUUGGUGUGAAUUGCASAAUCCCGUGAACCAUCGAGUUUUUGAACGCAWGUUGCGCCCGAUGCCAUUAGGCUGAGGGCACGUCUGCCUGGGUGUCACGU